RNAcentral lists this transfer RNA (69 nucleotides) under Ictidomys tridecemlineatus (thirteen-lined ground squirrel). Its description in RNAcentral is "Spermophilus tridecemlineatus (thirteen-lined ground squirrel) tRNA". It matches the Rfam family "tRNA". From Rfam's summary of the family: Transfer RNA (tRNA) molecules are approximately 80 nucleotides in length. Their secondary structure includes four short double-helical elements and three loops (D, anti-codon, and T loops). The record is from Rfam by way of RNAcentral. Lineage: Eukaryota; Metazoa; Chordata; Mammalia; Rodentia; Sciuridae.
GGUGCUAUAGCUCAGUGGCAGAGCACUUGCCUAGCAUGUGUGAGGCAUUGGGCUCAAUCUUUAGCACCA